RNAcentral lists this long non-coding RNA (205 nucleotides) under Gallus gallus (chicken). RNAcentral's name for it is "long non-coding RNA NONGGAT007160". The record is from RNAcentral. Lineage: Eukaryota; Metazoa; Chordata; Aves; Galliformes; Phasianidae.
GCCGAAAGGCCCAAGCCCCAUAUUCUUAAUGGCAUAAGCUGCAGGAUGCCAGGUUUCAGUGAGGGUGGUGUGGCUCGUGUCAGACUCCUUGACCCUGUGGAGGUGCUUUGGAGACUUGGCACCAAAGUGGUGCCUGCAGUCAGUGAGUGUGCCUGUAACACGACAUACAGAGGGAAAAUCCUUCAUUCAUCUUUACCAAGCUCCA